UACGGAGGGUGCAAGCGUUAUCCGGAUUCACUGGGUUUAAAGGGUGCGUAGGCGGGCAGGUAAGUCCGUGGUGAAAUCUCUGAGCUUAACUCAGAAACUGCCAUGGAUACUAUUUGUCUUGAAUGUUGUGGAGGUAAGCGGAAUAUGUCAUGUAGCGGUGAAAUGCUUAGAUAUGUCAUAGAACACCGAUUGCGAAGGCAGCUCACAAAGCCAUUAUUGACGCUGAGGCACGAAAGCGUGGGGAUCAAACAGG
This 253-nucleotide ribosomal RNA is filed under the name uncultured bacterium. RNAcentral describes it as "partial 16S ribosomal RNA". It matches the Rfam family "Bacterial small subunit ribosomal RNA", at positions 524 to 776 of the family's 1533-position model. The record is from RNAcentral.